AACGUAGGAGGCGAGCGUUAUCCGGAUUUACUGGGUGUAAAGCGCGUGUAGGCGGUCCUGCAAGUGGCGCGUGAAAGCGCCCGGCUCAACCGGGCGAGGACGUGACCGAACUGCGGGGCUAGAGGCAGGUAGAGGCGUGUGGAAUUCCGGGUGUAGUGGUGAAAUGCGUAGAGAUCCGGAGGAACACCAGUGGCGAAGGCGGCCAGCUGGGAUACACCUGACGCUGAGAUGCGAAGGCGUGGGGAGCGAACGGGAUUAGAUACCCCCGUAGUCCCU
RNAcentral lists this ribosomal RNA (276 nucleotides) under uncultured prokaryote. RNAcentral's name for it is "partial 16S ribosomal RNA". It matches the Rfam family "Bacterial small subunit ribosomal RNA", at positions 524 to 798 of the family's 1533-position model. The record is from RNAcentral.